RNAcentral lists this ribosomal RNA (274 nucleotides) under uncultured bacterium. Its description in RNAcentral is "partial 16S ribosomal RNA". It matches the Rfam family "Bacterial small subunit ribosomal RNA", at positions 523 to 796 of the family's 1533-position model. The record is from RNAcentral.
AUACGGAGGGGACUAGCGUUGUUCGGAAUUACUGGGCGUAAAGCGUACGUAGGCGGAUCAGAAAGUAUGGGGUGAAAUCCCAGGGCUCAACCCUGGAACUGCCUCAUAAACUCCUGGUCUUGAGUUCGAGAGAGGUGAGUGGAAUUCCGAGUGUAGAGGUGAAAUUCGUAGAUAUUCGGAGGAACACCAGUGGCGAAGGCGGCUCACUGGCUCGAUACUGACGCUGAGGUACGAAAGUGUGGGGAGCAAACAGGAUUAGAUACCCGGGUAGUCC